AAAACGGCAUUACUUCAUGUCUUCGCCAAAGACUCGUACCCAGAGAAUUAUGUCCCUACUGUCUUCGAGAACUACACGGCCAGUUUCGAGAUCGAGAAACAGAGGAUUGAGCUGAACAUGUGGGACACAUCAGACGAUCCUGCAGGUGAAGAAGCCGGAUGUGGAGGUCCUG
Coregonus clupeaformis (lake whitefish) is the source of this 172-nucleotide long non-coding RNA. RefSeq lists it as uncharacterized. The record is from RefSeq and is a predicted model, not a curated record. Lineage: Eukaryota; Metazoa; Chordata; Actinopteri; Salmoniformes; Salmonidae. The transcript has 3 exons.